ACUGCAUGCUUUACAUGACAUGGCACAGCUUCCACGCCAGCAGCUUCAAUCAUGUAAAGCGAAUGCAGUCCCAUCAAGACCACAGCAUUGGCUGAGCAGCUACUCCAUGCUGGGCACCGUCCUGGGCACUGGAAGUACAGCAGAGAACGAAACCAAGACCACACCCUCCAGAAGCCUGCAUUCCAGCAGGACAGACAGACUUCCAUACACAGAGCAGGAAAAUGCACAGCGUGUCAGAUGAUGAUGAUUACUAUGAGAAAAAUAAAGCAGGCAAAGAGAACAGGACUAUUUGGAUGAGGGUGGUGCAAAUUCAAAUAAUCAGACAGCCUUUGCUGGGAAGGUGAUAUCUGAGCAAAGAUUCGAGAAGGUGGGGAGAGCCCCGGAGCCUUCCCCGCAGAGCAGAGGAGGCCCGGGAAGCUCUGGACUCAUAGCGGUUCAGCACGGCCACGACACGGCCACUUCCAGACAGAGCCCCUGGCUGCUGGGUAGGGACCGCAGCACCUCAGAGAACCCUUUCUGGGGUCACUUCUGGCACCCUCUGCAAACCUCAAGGGGGAGCGUGAGGCUGGGGGCUGUCCAUCAGGGUCCAGGCACCUCCUGAAGGAACCUCUCAAAGCCAGCCGAUCACCGGCUCCAGACCCACGCUGUCAGACAUCUCUGUGGCCACCAGACCACUGCCACUCUCACGGGUGUGAUGACAUGGGACCUGCCUACUGGUAGUCUUCUGCCUUCGUGGAAUUCUGCAACUUCCUUCCUGCCUCGGCCACAGCAUGUCAGCCAAGCACCUGUCAGGGUCCCUCCCUGGCAGGACGAUGUUUAGAAGCUCAACACCUUGCUCCUGCCUCCUCUUCAGACCCAUCAGAACUUGCUACCAUGGGUGUGUUUUAAUAAAUAACUUCAUUUCUGCAGCAAAUAAAUAAAUAAAUAAAUGUAGUUGCAAUAUUGCCUUUAAAAGCACUUUUAAGCAUCAAUUGUGAAAUAAAAAGCCCGAGCAAAAGCCCUCUUUGAGCGUGAAGUGUCUAAACGUUUAUUUGUACUACUAUUGUUGUAAAGGGUAGAUUUUGUAGCAUUUUGAGGUGGUGAUUCAACUGCAUUAACAGCAUCCCGAGACCGCCUGCCACGAUCUGGAGGAAACGCACGGCCAGGGCCCACGUGCAGGGUAGGGUCCUGCCAGGCUCCCAAAACGCCCCGUCCCAGCACUCAGUCCCAUGGAGGCAGCACAGCCUCAGGGAGGCCAGCGACUCUGGGCCUGCGGGUGAGUCCUUCAGCCCCUGCACAGCCCAAUCCAUCUGCCACCCACUUGGUGACCCCAAAUUGUAGUAAGUCAACACUUCCAGUUACUCAACAGCUUCUGAAAUUUAAAUCUCUGGAACAAUUUACAGUAAUAAGACCCUAGGUGCACCUGUCUACUAUCCUUGUCCUCCCUAAUGAAAUGGGCUAGGCGUGGUGGCUCAUGCCUGUAAUCUCCCAUUUUGGGAGGCCAAGGCAGGAGAACUGCUUGAGCCCAGGUGUUGGGAGACCAGCCUGGGUAACAUGGCGAGACCUCACAUCUAAUAAAAAAAAAAAAAAUCUGCUGGCUGUGGUGGCGCACACCUGUAAUCCCAGCUGAAGUGGGAG
Molecule: long non-coding RNA, 1617 nt
Filed under: Homo sapiens (human)
Lineage: Eukaryota; Metazoa; Chordata; Mammalia; Primates; Hominidae
Description: HSALNT0226621
Source: RNAcentral